Molecule: small RNA, 109 nt
Filed under: Caenorhabditis japonica
Lineage: Eukaryota; Metazoa; Nematoda; Chromadorea; Rhabditida; Rhabditidae
Description: snRNA CJA48577
Rfam family: SL2 RNA
About the family: This family represents SL2 RNA. SL2 RNA is involved in trans splicing in lower eukaryotes. Trans-splicing is a form of RNA processing.
Source: Rfam by way of RNAcentral
GGUUUUAACCCAGUAACUAAAGGUACGCUGGAGUUCCGACCAUUCGAAAGAGUGUGUCGAUCAACUUUAAUUUUGGAACCGCUCUGCUGGGGUUAUCCGGCGGAGCAAA